GACGAACGCUGGCGGCGUGCUUAACACAUGCAAGUCGAGCGACGCUCUUCCUUCGGGGAGAUGACGGAGCGGCGAACGGGUGAGUAACACGUGGGCAACCUGCCCCUAGCUCUGGGACAACACCGGGAAACCGGUGCUAAUACCGGAUACGACAUCGAGCGGCAUCUCUCGAUGUGGAAAGUUUUUUCGGCUAGGGAUGGGCCCGCGGCUUAUCAGCUUGUUGGUGGGGUAAUGGCCCACCAAGGCGACGACGGGUAGCCGGCCUGAGAGGGCGACCGGCCACACUGGGAGUGAGACACGGCCCAGACUCCUACGGGAGGCAGCAGUGGGGAAUAUUGCGCAAUGGGCGAAAGCCUGACGCAGCGACGCCGCGUGAGGGAUGACGGCCUUCGGGUUGUAAACCUCUUUCAGCAGGGACGAAUUCAGACGGUACCUGCAGAAGAAGCACCGGCCAACUACGUG
RNAcentral lists this ribosomal RNA (462 nucleotides) under uncultured bacterium. RNAcentral describes it as "partial 16S ribosomal RNA". It matches the Rfam family "Bacterial small subunit ribosomal RNA", at positions 28 to 507 of the family's 1533-position model. The record is from RNAcentral.